GAACGCUGGCGGCAUGCCUUACACAUGCAAGUCGAACGGCAGCAUGGAGGAGCUUGCUCCUCUGAUGGCGAGUGGCGAACGGGUGAGUAAAGCAUCGGAACGUGCCGUGUAGUGGGGGAUAACGUAGCGAAAGUUACGCUAAUACCGCAUACGCACCGAGGUGGAAAGCAGGGGAUCGCAAGACCUUGCGCUAUACGAGCGGCCGAUGUCAGAUUAGCUAGUUGUUUGCCUAAAGGCCUACCGAGAAGACGCUCUGUAGCGGGUCUGAGAGGAUGAUCCGCCAC
This 284-nucleotide ribosomal RNA is filed under the name uncultured bacterium. RNAcentral describes it as "partial 16S ribosomal RNA". It matches the Rfam family "Bacterial small subunit ribosomal RNA", at positions 31 to 311 of the family's 1533-position model. The record is from RNAcentral.